RNAcentral lists this ribosomal RNA (310 nucleotides) under uncultured bacterium. RNAcentral's name for it is "partial 16S ribosomal RNA". It matches the Rfam family "Bacterial small subunit ribosomal RNA", at positions 503 to 807 of the family's 1533-position model. The record is from RNAcentral.
AAGAGACAGCAGUCGCCACGGGAAUACGAAGGGGGCUAGCGUUGUUCGGAAUUACUGGGCGUAAAGCGCACGUAGGCGGAUAUUUAAGUCAGGGGUGAAAUCCCGCAGCUCAACUGCGGAACUGCCUUUGAUACUGGGUAUCUUGAGUAUGGAAGAGGUUAGUGGAAUUGCGAGUGUAGAGGUGAAAUUCGUAGAUAUUCGCAGGAACACCAGUGGCGAAGGCGGCUAACUGGUCCAUAACUGACGCUGAGGUGCGAAAGCGUGGGGAGCAAACAGGAUUAGAUACCCGUGUAGUCCCUGUCUCUUAUAC